AUACAGAUAACCAAAGUAUAAAAUUUAAUUUACAGUGACACGUGAGCCCACGAACGACCAAAAGUAUCAAAAGCGGUAAACCUACAGUUUUUAAGGAUGCAAGUCCAACUAUAGCCCUCAACAAAGUGAGCUAUCCACCGACUAUCCUGAGCCUGAAAUGGGUGGAAAAGAGGGUGAUGAGAUUAUAUAAUCUAGUGAGUAAACAAAUACCAUCUAAAAUAUCCAAAGCCGAGUAAAUGGAGAUAAAUUAAAAUAGAUCAUCAUACUGUAAUUCAUCACCUUUCAACUCAUUUCAACCAAAUAAAAUCAAUUCAUAUAAAUCGAGUAACCAACAUGGCUUAUGAAUUUCUUAAAACUUUGGCUCAUGCCAAAAUCAUUCUCAUACUCGGUUGUCAGGGAUACCUUGGCCUGGGGCUAUCCUAACAGAGUCCGCCAAGGCUGUUAAUAAGUCAUGUACGCAUAAAUCAUGUUUUUACUUUGAAAACAUAGUCGUUCCUUAGCAUUGGCUGAGUUCACCCUUAUGUGUUGGUUUGGCGUGACGUUAACUCUAAAGAUGUACCUCGGGCGUUACCCUACAUACCUCUCCGACCGAGGUAAGAAUAUAACGGGGUUAUCGUGCUGUCACGACCCAAACUUCAAGCCAUGACCGACGCAAGGGCCCAAUAAACGUAGUCUAUUAAGCCCAAGCAAGCCUAUCGAUUUAUCCUACUCAUCAUUCCAUCAAAUAUCGCUAAGUCAUAUUUCAUACUUUUGAAUCAAAAUAGUGAUAUACAUUGCCAACUCGUACUGGCAUUACUCAAAAAUUUACAUACAAUGUCUACAACAUGUAUUCUAAAAAUUUACAUUAAGUUUGUCUAUACAAAACAAAAUAACACUCGACUUCCAGCGGAGUGACUCGGAUUAAUAUACAGCUACCGAAUGCCGAGACACCUACCAAAAGAUGGACACAGGUCUACAAGUACACCUCGUCCUAGUUACCAGCUGCCUCGUGAUCUGAAAACAUGAAUUUCAAAAUGGUGAGUAUAAACCCAGUGAGUGAACAAGAAAAGGAACAAGCAAACCAUAAGGAAUCUUUAAUGAAAUCAAGAUGCAUUCUUUUUCAAAACAAUGCAAUUUGUUUCUAUUCUUAUUAAAAACCCCUCAUCAAGCCCUUAAGUGAUUAAUCAUUUGAAAAUCAAGGACCCGUACAUAACAAACCAUUUGAAGAAUGAAAACUUCAAUAUUACACAAGCAAGUCAAAUGCGACAACGAAUCUUCGUUGCAGCCAUACCAGCGAGAAUGCCUUUCCGCUGCAGCGACGUUGGGAUUUAGUUAUUAACCGAACGAGGGUUUCUCAACUGGCCGAGGAUUUCUCACUAAACCACCUCAUUUUAAACUUAACUCAUUUAAUCCUUAAUGUUGGAAGUCCAUGCUCCGAUAUGGUAGCAAAGUAGUGAAAGAUAGGUCAGCAAUUGGACAAGAUAGGAGACCAAAACAGAAAGUUUUCACUGCAGCGAGAUUCAAUCUCGUUGUAGCGAAAUUGUAACCCAGAAACAGAAUGUUUCUCGCUGCAGCGAAAUUCAAUCUCGUUGCAGCGAAAUUGCAACCCAGAAAUAGAAAGUUUCUCGCUGCAGCGAGAAUGUAUUUUGCUGUAGCGAGAAGCUACAGUGUCAUUUUUGCUACAGCGAAAAUGCAUCCUCGCUGCAGCUAGUUUUCGGCCAGCCUACCCUUUUAAAACCUGAGAGUUUCUCGCUGCAACGAAAUAGAGGGCAUCAAAUGAAAAUUUCCCUUUCUCCCAAAAAAAACCACCCUGUUUGAAAUGUUCAAAACCAAUAUGAAACACAUAACAAUUUCUCAAGGUUUAACAUGUCAAGUUUCACAUACAUUACAACCAUAAACCAUUAUCCAUCAAUUUCCUAUAACACACAUAUUUACAUAUGUAUAUAUAUAUACGCAUAAACCCAUCAUCAUCAUCACCAGCUCAUGCGCUGUCACGACCCAAUUUCCCGAGCCAUGACCGGUGCAUGAGCUCAAUGAGCAUAGCUCACUAAGCCCAAGCAAGCUUAUCCAUUUACCUUUGCUUAACAAAUUUAUCAUAUCAUGCAUACACACAUAACUUUUUCCGGGUGUGAACAUAGUCAAAACACAAUGGGAUUAUCAAUAAUAAUAUACAUGCACUAUACCAGUCAUGUAUUUAGCAAUUUACAUUGCAUACACAUAUUCACAUUGUUAGAUUGUAUUCACAAUAUAAAAGGACCCAUGACUUCCAGCGGAGACAUUUACAAUAAAAGGGAUUACUAUCGAAUGCCAAACACAUACCCAGGAGAUGCACUACGGGGACUCCUCGAUCUAAGGUCCAACAGUCACUUGAUCUGAAAACAUGAAUUCUUAUAAAACGUGAGUACAAUACUCAGUAAGUGAAUAUUAGAAGGGAACAAGCAAUCUCAACCAGGAAAUUUGACAAUCAUGAUGCACCGGUUGAAAAUAAAGCAUUUUCAUCUAACUACUAUUCCAAACCCUUUUUCCCUUACCUUGAAAUUUAUUACGCAUUCAAGGAUUAAACAUCCUUGAAUUUACACCGAUCCUUCUAACAAAGUAGUAAAACUUACGAUUAUUUACAAAUCGUCACACAAUAAGGGUUUCACAACCCGUAUGAUUCAUAUAUGCAUAUGUAUCACGUACAAUUUCAUUCACCAAUUGUUCUAUCAAGCAAGAUAGCAAAAUUAAUGGUUUAUCACAAACCGUCACAAACAAGGGUUUCACAUACCACACAAUCAAACAUAUAUACACAAAGAUAUGAGCAAUUAUAUACACCGCCAAGUCUUCACUAUUCUUGGUGGUACAAAUAAAUAACUAUCGGAGUACUCGGUAAGGGUAUCACUCAAUAUCCCUCUUUGCACACCUCUGAAUUUCUAGGAAAUUGUGGGCGUUACGUAUCGUCGUCCCCAUAACCUUUAUUAGUAAACCAGCAUUGCACUUCCCACUCCGCACAUGCACGGUCGUAAUUAUCACAUCCUUUGUCAUUCAACUGGCAUUGCACUUCCCACUCCGCACAUGCACGGUUGCAUCAAUUUCACCAUAAUUUAUUAAUAAUACAUAUCAGCAUAAUACAAGGGUACACAGAUUUAGUACACUUAAUUUCACACAAUUUCUCAAUAAUACAUGUAGGCAUCAUACAGAUAUACACAGAUGCAUCGCAGUCAUAUUUAACAUCACAGAAAUAUUUUCACUAAAGGCUUGUUCCCGAGAUUCAUUUUUCAAUGGGAAUUAGAUAUAAUCAUUCACGUAUUUCAUUUCAACUUAAUUAGAAUUCCCAAAUAAAUUUUGAAAUGCAAAUUCACUCACAGGUGUCGAAAAUUCUAAUUUCGGGUGCACUCGGACUAAUAGUCCUAAAGCGUAAUUCCUUUGCCUUUUUCGGACGUCUCACUACCUUGUCAAAUAACAAAGUCGAGGAAUUUACUAUAUUGUCCCUAAAUUGAUAUAAACUAAUUUAAAUUACUAAUGCUUGAUAUGUAAAUGCAAAAAUACGUCCGAUUACCGCUUAAUCGCGGUAUCGAUUAAAUUCGACCGAUCACCCGAUUAAUUGGAGCUUGUGUCCAAAUCACCUCCAAAUUAAUCCGUUUCUCCUUUAAUACCUUAAUUUACCACAUACCAUUUAAAUAAAGCAAAAUUCAGCAUUAGAACCCUCACAGUUCCUUAUAGAAAAAUUCGAUAAUUUGGUGCACUAGCACCGAAAUUUUUUUCUACAUAACCGUUUCUCCUUAAUUCAUCAUUUUCCAAGCCAUUUUCCUUGAAAUAAAAACAAUCCCCCAUUCAUAUUCAGCCCUCAUGGUUUGACCAACAAGGAACCCUAGAGAAAUUGAAUAUUUCUUUUGUGUUUUUGUUCAUAACCAUGCUUAACUAUCCCUAAACACUAACAUAGUCUAAAAUCAAAUUAUUCCAACAACAAUUGCUCUUCCAUACCCAUUUUUCAGAAUUGAAUUCAUCAUGAUAACUCAAUAUUCAACCAUGGAAAUCAAGAAGAAAAGCAUGGGUAAGCUAGGUAUCAAGGAGAAAUGAAGAAAUUUUAACUUACCUAACUUGUUUCCUUGAUUUCUUCACUUUUUCUUUGAAUUUCCACCUAGGUUUUCUUGUUUUUCCCUUUGUUCUUCCUUUUUUCUUGUUGCUGGUUGUCUAGGGCGAAUAUGGUGAGAGAAUUGGGGAUUUAAUGGGCUGAUUUCUAUAGAAAAUAAUAAAAUAAUCAAGCAUGCCACGUGUCACAUGCUUAUUGGUCCAAUUUUUAACUUUUUGACUCUUUCUUCUUAAUUUUCCACCACAAAUAUUCUGGAAUUUAUCCAAUCCUAACACAAUUAAAAUCCCCUUGUCUUCAAAAGUGUUGGGGCAAAAAAUUUACCGAUUUGCCCCUAGGGUGAAAAAAUUACGAUUUUGCCCCUAUACUCCGAAAUGUAGGGGAAUCACAUUAUUUCUACUUUUCAACCUCAAAUAACACUAAUAUUGAUCAACAUUAACCAAAUGGGGCAAAAAUCGGUUUAUAAAAAUUCUCGUUUAGUCCUCUAGUGGUAAAAUUACCAUUUUGCCCUUGUGUUCCAAAAAUACUGAAAAUCACAAUUUUUCACUGCUAUACAUCAUUUUAUACUCCAAUAAUCAUAAUUAUAUUGCAUAUAACUAUUCUUGGUCAAAUGUGAUCAAAUCUUGGUUAGAAAUCUCCAUUUUAUCAUCAAAUGAUAAAAUGACCGUUUUGUCCCUAAUCGGUCAAUUUUCCUAAUGGACUCCAAACAGAACCUUGAACUCCGAAUCACUAUUCUAAGCCAUUCUGUGGGUUUCAAAAUUUUCUAUUUCCUCUUAGAAUUUCUAUUUGAACUAGUUCAAGACUCGAUUUAACUUAGUUGUACCACUCGGUACAAUACCGUCUUUUAAUCGAGCAUGACAUGGUCUCACAUGCGCAUUCCCUACUCGAACAUGGCUGGGUCAUCACUGGGUUAUGCGCACUCCCUACUCGCACAUAACCAGGUCAUCAUCGACUUAUGCGCACUCCCUACUCGCACAUAGCCGAGUCAAUAUAAUUACACAACAUUAUAUUCAAGCAUAUAUGUAUAUCAACAUAAUGCAACCACAUAGAAAUCCAUAAUAACCACAUAUCAUAACAUAAAUCAUUUCUCAAGAGCUUGUUCCCAAGGCAUUCAUUUUUUUUAGAAAAGUUGUAUAAAAUCAAUCAAACACUUUGUUCAAAGCAGUCAUAUUCCCAAAACAAUUUUGAUAGGCAGUCCACUCACCAAUUGAUUGUACAGCCUUUAGAUGACUCCAAUUCCCCUAAUUGUCCAAAUGGGAUGAUGGGGCUUCCUUAAAACCUAGGAUCACAUUAACAUAAACAAUAGAUCAAUUUACACACUAUGAACUCUAAAAGCUAUCUCUUAGCUAGUUUUCAACUGCCACAUUAAAUGGCUAUCUAUGUUCACUAUCUUAAUCACUAAAAAGUAAUGAACAUAGUCAACAAUAAAACAGCUCAUAAAUCCCAAUUACUAGCCAUUUUUUGCAGCUAAAAAUUGAGCUUAGUUAACCACUUACCCUAGGGCUCCUUUGUAGUCAAAUUCUCUCCCAAUAGCUUCCAAAUAAAUGGUGUAAUUCUCUUUUUCUCUCUCUAGAACGUCCAACUAGUGAAAGAAAGUAUGAAAACCAGAUUUUUGAAGGGUUUUAAAGUGAGAGGAUGAAAGAGCAUAAGGGUUUAUGGAAGAGUACACCAAAAGCAUGAAAAUUAGAGCUAGAGAGAGAAAGUUAUGGAAGCUUGAAGAAAACUCCCAUGGAAGAAUUGAAGAAACGUGAGAGAGGAGAAGGGAAGAAGAAGAUAACUGCUGAAAAUUUUAAGAAGCUGCUGGAAUUUCAAGAUAUUUAUGGGCCAAUUUUAUCCAUUCUUUUAAAAUUACCAAUUUGCCCCUCCACCAAUUUAUUGAUUCUCCUCCAAUCUUUUAUGCAAUCUUUUUGCUCUUUAAACACUGGGACAAUAUCCAUAAUGGUCUAGACAUGUUCAGGUUUAUAAAAACUUAAAACUUUAACCCGAGGUGAAAAAUGACCAUUUUGCCCUUAUUAUGAAAAUUAUUAAAAUUUUGGUUUCCUUUCCAUUUUACCCCUAAUUUCACCAUCCAUUUUUACCUUAGGCCUACUUAGGCCAUAAUAUUGUUUAAAACUUACUUUGGGAGCUUAUUAGAGAAAAUGACGAAACUACCCUUGGCUCGUAUUAUUACAUCUAUGCUUAGUUACAAGCCUAUAAAGGUUGGGGUUUCAUAUUCUCCCCCAGUUAAAGAAAUUCGGUCCUCAAAUUUAAAUUCAACUAUAAGAUAAUGUACCUCUAAGUAUCAAAAAGAUGGGGAUACUUUGUUCGCAUCUCCUCCUCGGCUUCCCACGUUACCUCCUCACUAGUGUGAUUUCGCCACAACACUUUCACUGAUGCUACUUCCUUUGAAUGGAGCUUUUUAACUUGCCUAUCAAGGAUAGCUACUGAUUGCUCCUUAUAGGUUAGAUCAUCUUGCAACUGAAUGGUUUCAUACCGUAUUACAUGUGAUGGAUCCGAGUUGUACUUCCUAAGCAUCAACACAUGAAACACGGGGUGAAUAUUCGAAAGGUCUCUCGGUAAUGCCAAACGAUAAGCCACCUCUCUAACCCUUUCUAAAAUCUCGAAGGGUCCUAUAUACCGAGGACUUAACUUCCUUUUCUUGCCAAACCUUAUUACCCCUUUAGUUGGCGAAACUUUCAAAAAUACGUGAUCUCCUACUUGGAACUCCAAGUCUCUCCGUCGGUUAUCAGCAUAUGAUUUCUAUCUACUUUGUGUUGUUAACAUCCUCUGACGGAUCAUGCGUAUUUUCUCAGUGGCAUCCUAUACCAACUCAGGCCCCAAAAGUUUUCUUUCUCCCACCUCUAGCCAUCCAAUGGGUGACCUACACCUCCGUCCAUAUAAUGCCUCAAAUGGUGUCAUUUGGAUGCUAGAUUGGAAACUGUUGUUAUAGGUAAAUUCCACUAAGGGUAGAUAUUGAUCCCACUUGACACCAAGGUCUAUGACACAAGCUUUCAACAUAUCCUCCAAUGUCUGUAUGUUCCAUUCAGACUGUCCAUCAGUCUGUGAGUGGAAAGCUGUGCUAAAAUCCAACUUAGUGCCUAAUGCUCCUACAACUUUCCCCAAAACCUACUAGUAAACUGAGCUCCUCUGUCAGAUACUAUAGAAAUGGGGAUACAAUGUAGUCGUACUAUCUCAUCUACAUAAACUCGAGCGUAUUGGGCAGCCCCAUAAGUAGUCUUAACCGGAUGAAAAUGAGCUGACUUCGUUAACUGGUCUACUACUAUCCAAAUCGAGUCGUAGCCCUCACUAGUUCGAGGUAAACCCAUUACAAAGUCCAUGGCAAUAUGCUCCCACUUCCACUCGGUUACUGGUAAUGGUUGUAGUAACCCUGCAGACUUUUGAUGCUCGGCCUUAACCUGCUGACAAACCAAGCACUUGGAGACAAACUCAGCUACAUCUCUCUUGAGUCCUUCCCACCAAUACACCUCCUUCAAAUCUUGAUACAUCUUUGUAGCCCCUGGAUGUACUACAUAGGUUGCCAUGUGAGCUUCCUCAAAUAUUUCUCUCCUCAACCCGUUACCAUCAGGCACAUAAAAUCUGGUUCCAUACCUCAACACUCCAUCUAUGCCUUUGGUAAACAUUUUUCCUUUCCUUCCCUGAGGAUCCUCUAAGGCCUUAGCCACAAACUCAUCUUUACAUUGUGCUUCUUUGAUUCGGUCCAUUAAGAUAGGCCUCACUCUAAAAUGUGCUAGUAAUGCAUCUGUCUCCGCAACUUCCAAAUGCACACCUAUGUCUCCUAAGCUAUGGAUCUCUCUAACCAAUGAUCUCCUAUUAGUAGAAAUAUGUGCCAAGCUUCCCAUUGAUUUUCAACUCAAGGCAUUCGCCACUACAUUGGCCUUACCGGGAUGGUAAAGAAUAGUACAAUCAUAAUCCUUUAGCAACUCCAUCCAUCUACGUUGCCGUAAGUUAAGAUCCCUCUAUUGAAAUAUAUACUUCAAACUUUUGUGGUCCGUAUAUAUCUCACAAGUCUCACCAUACAAAUAAUGUCUCCAAAUUUUCAAGGCAAACACGAUUGCUGCCAUUUCCAAAUCGUGUGUGGGGUAAUUCUACUCAUGCCUUUUAAGUUGCCUUGAUGCAUACGCAAUCACUCUCCCAUGUUGCAUUAACACACACCCUAAACCAACCCACGAUGCAUCACAAAAUACCGUAUAACCUCCCGUGCCUUGAGGUAGGCUUAAUACUGGAGCUGUAGUGAGACAUGCCUUAAGCUUCUCAAAGCUAUCCUCACAAGCAUCAGACCACUCAAAUUUUGUAUCCUUAUGUGUCAGCUUAGUCAGAAGGGCGACUAUUUUAGAGAAGUCCUUUACAAAGCGACGAUAAUAGCCAACCAAACCCACAAAGCUUCUAAUCUUCGUAACUGAUGUUGGCCUUGGCCAUUUUUCCACUGCUUCAACUUUCUUUGAAUCGACUUGUACCCCAUCCUUAGAUACCACAUGCCCCAAAAAUGUAACACUUUCGAGCCAAAACUCACACUUGGAGAACUUGGCAUGCAAUUGAUGUUCUCUCAAAAUUUGGAGCACUAUCUUAAGAUGCUGCUCAUGCUCCUCUCGGCUCUUCGAAUAUAUCAAGAUGUCAUCAAUAAACACCACCACGAACUUAUCCAAAUAAGGCUUGAACACUCGGUUCAUCAAAUCCAUAAAGGCUGCAGGAGCAUUCGUGAGCCCAAAUGACAUCACCAAGAACUCAUGUGCCCAUAUCUUUUUCGAAAUGUGGUCUUGGGUAUAUCUUCAUGUCGGAUUCUCAACUGAUGGUACCUAGAUCGCAGAUCUAUCUUACAGAAACAUUGUGCUCCUUGUAGUUGAUCAAAUAAAUCAUCUAUUCUUAGGAGAGGAUACUUAUUCUUCACUGUCACUUUAUUAAGCUAUCGAUAGUCAAUGCACAGCCUAAGUGACCCAUCUUUCUUCUUCACAAAUAACACUGGUGCUCCCCAUGGGGAUACACUAGGUCGGAUGAAACCUUUAUCCAACAAAUCCUCCAACUAAUCCUUAAGCUCUUUAAGCUCUGUCGGUACCAUUCUAUAUGGGGGUAUGGAUAUAGGUCUAGUGUCGGGAAUCAAAUCUAUGCAAAACUCAAUCUCCCAUUCAGGAGGCAAACCUGGUAGCUCUUCAGGAAAUACAUCCAUGAACUCCUUCACCACCGACACUUGAGUUACAUCUCCAAUCUUUGUCUGAGUAUCAUUUACAAUAGCCAAGUAACCUAUACAACCCUGUUGUAAUAAUCUUCUGGCAGAUAUGACCGAUAUCAAAUUGGUUGGAGCAUUAGUCCUAUCCCCCUAAAUACAAAAUGAUGGUUCACCAGGGAAAUCAAAUCUAACCAAUUUAUGAUAGUAGUCCACACUAGCAUGGCAGGGUGAUAACCAAUCCAUCCCCAAGAUCACAUCAAAGUCUAAGGUGUCUAGCACCACUAGAUUCACCAAAGUGUCUUUGUCCUUGACUCGCACUACACAGGACUCAUAUUCCCAUUCGGCCACAAAUAUCUCUUUCAAAGGAGUAGACACCACUAAUUGUUCCUCUCUCUUAACACUAUCUCUACCCAAUCGAGAUGCAAAACAUGGAGAGAUAAAAGAAUGGGUAGCACCAGGAUCAAAUAGUACCUGAGCAUUCAUAUUACAAAUGGAGAGAAUACCUGAGACCACGACAUUGGAUGUCUGGGCCUCCUGCUAUGUUAAAGCAAACACCUUUGCCUGGCAUCUACCAACAGAACUCUGACGACCGAACCCAGAUGGCUUACCCUGAGAGAAAAUACCAGCACCUCUUCCUCUGGAUCCACUAGCCUCUUGACUCGAUGGAGCAGCAACAGAAGGAGUAGAUGAAACUGGCUGGGUAGAGCCACGAGUAGAAUCUGGUGAUUGUUGUGCCAUCGGACAAUCCCUCCUAAUAUGCCCAGGUUGACCGCACCCGUAACAAGUUCUUAUAGUAAGGAAGCACCGUCCACUAUGUCGUCUCCCACAAGUAUCACAAGAGCGGGUGACUUGACUACUCUGUCUAGAAUAUUGUUGCCUCCCAGAAUUGAAAGUUCUUUGUCCCGCCCCAACAUUAACACCAGGCAGGUCACUCUUUUGCUGGGAUAAUCGUGAGUCCCUCUGUGGACCCUGACGGCUAGAAGAUGAACCACGACUGUUGAAAUCUCUACGACCCUGAUAACCCUCUAUCCUGACCCUUUUUGCUCUAUCCCUUGUAGCUCUACUCUCACUAGUCCUCAUCUCGAUGAGUUGAGCACGAUCCACUGCUGCAGAAUAGGUAAUGAAAUCUCGGGAUGCCACAGCCCUAAAUAAUGGCUCCACUAACCCAUCCACAAACCUCUGAAUCUUUAUCUCCUUAGUAGAAACAAGAUAGGGCGCAUAACAAGCUAGUUGUGUGAACUUGAUGUCAAACUCAGACACCGUCAUGCUCGAAGUCUGUACCAAAGUCUCAAACUCUCUGGCUCUGGCAUUACGUACAUUGAGUGGUAGGAAUCUAUCCAGAAAAGCUGUACUGAACUCACUCCAGGCCAAAGUACUGCAUCCGUCAGUCUGCCUUUACAUAAAGAGCUAUACCAUUCCUACGUCACAUCUUCUAAUUGGAAGGCGGCUAACUCAACUGACCGAACACUAGAACAUCCCAAAGCCUUACAAAUUUUCUCCAUCUUAUCUAAGAAAACUUGGAGUUUCUCCGAUACAUUAGACCCUGAAAAUGAUGGAGGCUUAAGCUUGAGAAAGUCAGGAAGAGAAAUAUCUAGAGGUCCCCUCUCAACCUCAUGAUGUUGGUGAUCGGCCUGUCCUUAGGAGCUAGGGGAUUCUUGUACUGUAAGUCUUCCCUCUACUACCCUCUGUAUAUCCUCUAUACGGGUCGCCAUCAUCUCUACAACCCGAUUGACUCCCUAUAGGCCUGCCGCUAAAUCCUCGAUGGUAAUACUCCCAGCUGGGUGUCUAUCUACAUCACUUGAGGACUGUCCCUCCUCUAGCUUACUCAUAGGUGUAUCAGCCCUCACCGGCCUAGUGGCCCUGCCACGUCGACCACGACCCCUUCGGGUGGAUGCCCGUGGCCUAUUUGUCAUCUCAUAAGGAGCAUCUUGCUCCCCCAUCAGUCUUGAGCCAGCUCGUGUCUUAGGCGGCAUUCUUACCUAGACAAAAGCAAACACCUGUUAUUAAACACAUUUCAUAAUCAUACUUAAGGCAAAAGGUGGUUUCUAAGACAGGGAAUCUAUGCGGUCACUUGAUUGUAAAAUGUACCGCGGUUCACACUUUACAACUGAAGUUUCAACAUAAAGACCCGACUCUCCGCUGGAACAACAAAAGGAAGUUCUAAGACCUAAACAAACCUAGGGCUUUGAUACCAACAUUGUCACGACCCAAAUUCCGGGCCAUGAUCGGCGCAAGGGCCUAAUAAACGUAGUCUAUUAAGCCCAAGCAAGCCUAUCAAUUUAUCUUACUCAUCAUUCCAUCAAAUAUCGGUAAGUCAUAUUUCAUACUUUUGAAUCAAAAUAGUGAUAUACAUUACUAACUCGUAGUGGCAUUACUCCUUAAAAAUUUACAUACAAUGUCUACAACAUGUACUCUACAAAUUUACAUUAAGUUUGUCUAUACAAAACAAAAUAACACUCGACUUCCAGCGGAGUGACUCGGAUGAAUAUACAGCUACCGAAUGCUGAGACACCUACCAAAAGAUGGACACAGGUCUACAAGGACACCUCGUCCUAGUUACCGGCUGUCUCGUGAUCUGAAAACAUGAAUUUGAAAAUGGUGAGUAUAAACCCAGUGAGUGAACAAGGAAGGGAACAAGCAUACCACAAGGAAUCUUUAAUGAAAUCAUGAUGCAUUCGUUUUCAAAACAAUGCAAUUUAUUUCUAUUCUUAUUAAAAACUCCUUAUCAAGCCCUUAAAUGAUUAAUCAUUUGAAAAUCAAGUACCCGUACAUAACAAACCAUUUGAAGAAUGAAAACUUCAAUAUUACACAAGCAAGUCAAAUACGACAAUGAAUCUUAGCUGCAGCCAUACCAGCGGAAUGCCUUUCCGCUGCAGCGACGUUGGGAUUUAGUUAUUAACCAAAUGAGUGCUUCUCAACUAGCCGAGGAUUUCUCACUAAACCUCCUCAUUUUAAACUUAACUAAUUUAAUCCUUAAUGUUGGAAGUCCAUGCUCCGAUAUGGUAGCAAAGUAGUGAAAGAUAGGUCAGCAAUUGGACAAGAUAGGAUACCAAAACAGAAAGUUUUUCAUUGCAGCGAGAUUGAAUCUCGCUACAGCGGAAUUGUAACCUAGAAACAAAAUGUUUCUCGCUGCAGCAAAAUUCAAUCUCGCUGCAGCGAAAUUGCAACUCAGAAACAAAAAGUUUCUCGCUAUAGCGAGAAUGUAUUUCGUUACAGCGAGAAGCUACAGUGACAUUCUCGCUUUAGUCCUCUGGUGGUAAAAUUAUCAUUUUGCCCUUAUGCUCUAAAAAUACCAUGAAUCAUAAUUUUUCACUACUAUACAUCAUUUUAUACUCCAAUAAUCAUAAUUAUAUUUCAUGUAAUUAUUCUUGGUCAAAUGUUAUCAAAUCUUGGCUAGAAAUCUCCAUUUUAUGAUUAAAUGGUAAAAUGACCGUUUUGUCCCUAAUCGGUCAAUUUUCCUAAUGGACUCCAAAUUGGACUUUGAACUCCAAAUCACUAUUCUAAGUCAUUCUGUGGGUUUCAAAAUUUUCAAUUUUCUCUUAGAAUUUCUAUUUGAACUAGUUCAAGGCUCGAUUUAACUUAGUUGUACCACUCGGUACAAUAUCGUCUUUUAAUCGAGCAUGACAGGGUCUCACAUGCGCACUCCCUACUCGCACAUGGCUGGGUCAUCACCGGGUUAUGCGCACUCCCUACUCGCACAUAACCGGGUCAUCCUCGACUUAUGCGCACUCCCUACUCGCACAUAGCCGAGUCAAUAUAAUUACACAACAUUAUAUUCAAGCAUAUAUGUAUAUCAACAUAAUGCAGCCACAUAGAAAUCUAUAAUAACCACAUAUUAUAACAUAAAUCAUUUCUCAAGAGCUUGUUCCCAAGGCAUUCAUUUUUUUUAGAAAAAUUGUAUAAAAUCAAUCAAACACUUUGUUCAAAACAGUCAUAUUCCCAAAACAAUUUUGAUAGGCAGUCCACUCACCAAUUGAUUAUAGAGCCUUUAGAUGAUUCCAAUUCCCCUAAUUGUCCAAAUGGGAUGAUGGGGCUUCCUUAAAACCUAAGAUCACAUUAACAUAAACAAUAGAUCAAUUUACACACUAUGAACUUUAAAAGCUAUCUCUUAGCUAGUUUUCAAUUACCACAUUAAAUGGCUAUCUAUGUUCACUAUCUUAAUCACUAAAAAGUAAUGAACAUAGUCAAUAAUAAAACAGCUCAUAAAUCCCAAUUACUAGCCAUUUUCUGCAGCUAAAAAUUGAGCUUAGUUAACCACUUACCCUAGGGCUUUUUUGUAGUCAAAUUCUCUCCCAAUAGCUUCCAAAUAAAUAAUGUAAUUCUCUCUUUCUCUCUUUAGAAUGUCCAACUAGUGAGAGAAAGUAUGAAAACCAGAUUUUUGAAGGGUUUUAAAGUGAGAGGAUGAAAAAGCAUAAGGGUUUAUGGAAUAGUACACCAAAAGCAUGAAAAUUGGAGCUAGAGAGAGAAAGUUAUGGAAGCUUGAAGAAAACUCCCAUGGAAGAAUUAAAGAAACGUGAGAGAGGAGAAAGGAAGAAGAAGACAGCUGUUGGAAAUUUCAAGAAGCUGCAGGAAUUUCAAGAUAUUUAUAGGCCAAUUUUAUCCAUUCCCCUAAAAUUACCAAUUUGCCCCUCCACCAAUUUACUUAUUCUCCUCUAGUCUUUUAUGCAAUCUUUUUGCUCUUUAAACACUGGGACAAUAUCCAUGAUGGUCUAGACAUGUUCAGGUUUAUAAAAACUUAAAAUUUUAACCCGAGGUGAAAAAUGACCAUUUUGCCCCUACUAUGAAAAUUGUUGAAAUUUUGGUUUCCUUUCCAUUUUACCCCUAAUUUCACCAUCCAUUUAGACCUUAGGCCUACUUAGGCCAUAAUAUUGUUUAAAACUUACUUUGGGAGCUUAUUAGAGAAAAUGACGAAACUACCCUUGGCUCGUAUUAUUACAUCUAUGCUUGGUUACAAGCCUAUAGAGGUUGGGGUCUCACAUGUGCCCCUCUAAUAGGCUGGUCCACGGAACCCGCCCACUACAGCAAGCUAAACCCACCAAUUCCAUAAAAUCUCAAUCGCAUGACAUGGCAAUUAUAUCACAAUCCAACCUCUCAAGGCUAAAUACACAGUUCAUAUAUUUCAACACAAAUACCAAUUCAACCAUUCAUGCAAAUAUUGUCAUAAGCCAUUCGAUUCAAACCAUGAAUUUACAACACAUGAAAACAGUCUCCAAUUACUCUAUUUUCAAACCAUCAUUUCAUUUCAAGACAAUGUUAUAAAAUCAUUUCAUUAAAUCACAUUUUAAUUACAAAACACAAAGAUUUACCAUUUAACUCAUUUUCCAUAAAAUCACAAAAUCGGAGAAAAAUCACUUUAGAUAAUUAAGAUGAUAGUAACGUUAGUCACUAUUUCGGGAGUCGAAUUUUGAGUACUCCGAUUCUUGAUCCUCGGGUACUAUCUUUUUACUUUUACCAGAAUGUUCACCACCU
This 14678-nucleotide long non-coding RNA is filed under the name Theobroma cacao (cacao). Its description in RNAcentral is "long non-coding RNA (TCAC_LNC000307)". The record is from RNAcentral. Lineage: Eukaryota; Viridiplantae; Streptophyta; Magnoliopsida; Malvales; Malvaceae.